UAUGGCUUAUAAGCAAAGCGCCUGACUAGUAAGCAGGAGAUCACGAGUUCGAGUCUCGUUGGGACCU
RNAcentral lists this transfer RNA (67 nucleotides) under Daphnia pulex (common water flea). It matches the Rfam family "tRNA". From Rfam's summary of the family: Transfer RNA (tRNA) molecules are approximately 80 nucleotides in length. Their secondary structure includes four short double-helical elements and three loops (D, anti-codon, and T loops). Further hydrogen bonds mediate the characteristic L-shaped molecular structure. tRNAs have two regions of fundamental functional importance: the anti-codon, which is responsible for specific mRNA codon recognition, and the 3' end, to which the tRNAs corresponding amino acid is attached (by aminoacyl-tRNA synthetases). tRNAs cope with the degeneracy of the genetic code in two manners: having more than one tRNA (with a specific anti-codon) for a particular amino acid; and 'wobble' base-pairing, i.e. permitting non-standard base-pairing at the 3rd anti-codon position. Lineage: Eukaryota; Metazoa; Arthropoda; Branchiopoda; Diplostraca; Daphniidae. The record is from Rfam by way of RNAcentral.